This 440-nucleotide ribosomal RNA is filed under the name uncultured bacterium. RNAcentral's name for it is "partial 16S ribosomal RNA". It matches the Rfam family "Bacterial small subunit ribosomal RNA", at positions 338 to 795 of the family's 1533-position model. The record is from RNAcentral.
CCUACGGGGUGCAGCAGUGGGGAAUAUUGGACAAUGGGGGGAACCCUGAUCCAGCGACGCCGCGUGAGUGAAGAAGUAUUUCGGUAUGUAAAGCUCUAUCAGCAGGGACGAAAAUGACGGUACCUGACUAAUAAGCCCCGUCUAACUACGUGCCAGCAGCCGCGGUAAUGCGUAGGGAGCAAGCGUUAUCCGGAUGUACUGGGUGUAAAGGGAGCGUAGACGGUGCAGCAAGUCUGAUGUGAAAGGUCUGGGCCCAACCUCGGGACUGCGGUGUAAAUUGUUGAACUGGAGUAUAGGAGAGGUAGGCGGAAUUCGUGGUGUAGCGGUGAAAUGCGUAGAUAUUAGGAGGAACACCAGUGGCGAAGGCGGCUUACUGGGCUGUAACUGACGCUGAGGCUCGAAAGCGUGGGGAGCAAACAGGAUUAGAUACCCUUGUAGUC